GUGCUCACUUUGGCAGCACAUAUACUAAAAUUGGAACCAUACAGAGAAGAUUAGAAUGGUCUCUGCACAAGGAUGACACACAAAUUCGUGAAGCAUUUCAUAUUUUU
Small nuclear RNA from Fukomys damarensis (Damara mole-rat), 107 nucleotides. NCBI's taxonomy places the organism in Eukaryota, Metazoa, Chordata, Mammalia, Rodentia, Bathyergidae. The record is from Ensembl.